RNAcentral lists this ribosomal RNA (663 nucleotides) under uncultured bacterium. RNAcentral's name for it is "bacterial SSU rRNA". It matches the Rfam family "Bacterial small subunit ribosomal RNA", at positions 55 to 763 of the family's 1533-position model. The record is from RNAcentral.
AUGCAGUCGCACGGACCUUUCGGGGUGAGUGGCGGACGGGUGAGUAUCGCGUAGGGAUCUAUCCAUGGGUGGGGGAUAACAUCGGGAAACUGGUGCUAAUACCGCAUGAUACCUGAGGGUCAAAGGCGCAAGUCGCCUGUGGAGGAGCCUGCGUUCGAUUAGCUUGUUGGUGGGGUAAAGGCCUACCAAGGCGAUGAUCGAUAGCUGGUCUGAGAGGAUGAUCAGCCACACUGGGACUGAGACACGGCCCAGACUCCCACGGGAGGCAGCAGUGGGGAAUAUUGGACAAUGGGCGAAAGCCUGAUCCAGCAAUGCCGCGUGUGUGAAGAAGGUCUUCGGAUUGUAAAGCACUUUCGACGGGGACGAUGAUGACGGUACCCGUAGAAGAAGCCCCGGCUAACUUCGUGCCAGCAGCCGCGGUAAUACGAAGGGGGCUAGCGUUGCUCGGAAUGACUGGGCGUAAAGGGCGCGUAGGCGGUUUACACAGUCAGAUGUGAAAUUCCAGGGCUUAACCUUGGGGCUGCAUUUGAUACGUGUAGACUAGAGUGUGAGAGAGGGUUGUGGAAUUCCCAGUGUAGAGGUGAAAUUCGUAGAUAUUGGGAAGAACACCGGUGGCGAAGGCGGCAACCUGGCUCAUUACUGACGCUGAGGCGCGAAAGCGUG